AAAUAGUACUUUGCAGAGAGAGUUAACAGGGCGUGAAACCGUUAAUUGGCAAACGAAUCGGAGCCACGAAGUCGUUUCGCUGAGCCGGGUUGAGUUCAGCCUGGGACCUAGGUCCCAGGUGUAUUCUUGGCCCAGCCGUUGUAAGCGUACACUGCAACCAGUUAGACGAUUGGGGAUGGGCCCAGCUGCUGGGGUUAGUAGUAGCGUGUUGCAUUUCGGUGCAUCAUGUUGCUGGGCCCCAGCAAGUGAACUAUCCCCAAAUACUGACUGGCAAAAUGAAAAUCGCGAAAGCGUUUCACACAAUGCGGCCAGGCACAUGGGUGCCUACGUAGCCGACCAUAGGGUUUAAGCUCGGCAUUCUUGAAUUUAGGCUUGCUCGCUACCAAUGGGGCAACUCUUGGUGCUUGUACAGUUUCUAUCUAAUCGGGUGUUGACUUGAUCCUGUGUCGUUCGGUUGCGCUAUGAUAGGGCGCCUAUGCGACCUGGUUUGCAAUUAUUGGCAGUGAGUAGGUCGGCUUUCCGAACGACCCGUCUUGAAACACGGACCAAGGAGUCUAAUUAGGCAUCAAGUCGAUCGGUCUUGAAUAGGCCAGACUCGGGGGCUCCCCCGGAUUGAAGGCGUAGAGACAUGUGAUCGUUGGACAAUACCAGUCCUUGCGCGCAACAUGUGCCUGUUCGUAUAGCAAUGUAGCAAUAAUGCUGGGCGGAGCAAAGAGAUGUCUGAUUGGUACCCGAAAGAUGGUGAUGCCUGGGCAAGUUGAAGCCAGAGGAAACUCUGGUGGAGGACUGUAGCGAUUCUGACGUGCAAAUCGAUCGUCAGACCUGGGUAUAGGGGCGAAAGACUAAUCGAACCAUC
This 856-nucleotide ribosomal RNA is filed under the name Diptilomiopus sp. FJ22. Its description in RNAcentral is "partial large subunit ribosomal RNA". It matches the Rfam family "Eukaryotic large subunit ribosomal RNA", at positions 366 to 944 of the family's 3401-position model. The record is from RNAcentral. Lineage: Eukaryota; Metazoa; Arthropoda; Arachnida; Trombidiformes; Diptilomiopidae.